CUAAUUUUAAAAUUCUAUAUUCUUAACACUUUUGCCAUUGGCCCACACAACUUUGCUUUUCACCAGUGUCUAAAGUGGCUGAAACAUCAGCAUCGGGUGGUGGCAAUGCCUUGAGGGAUAUCUUAUCAUAUGCAGCAUGGCAUCUCUGGGCUUCGUGGAACCAGACAUAGUGAUCAAACAUGGAGCAUAUUUCUACUGCAGAUAACUAGAAACUGGAUCAUGGCGAUAAAGCUAAUCCAACUGGAUGGAUCCUAGCUCUGUGACAUGGCUGACUUCCAGAAGCACAGGCUUUUUUGCUCUCGAAUAUCAGGAUGAUACCUGGAGUUCUGAGUCUGAUGACCUGGAAGAUUUGGGGUAAUUCCGUUUAGUAGACACAGCUAUGGACUCACACAAAAUUCAUUCAUUUUUGAGUCUACUUUAUUUACAGUUAUUUAUCCUUUCUUGAAAACUUUUAGCAUCGCCUUGAUUAAAAUAAGUUCAUAAAAUAAUCUUCACUGUAUUUGUUACAUAUGGCACAGAAUAAUUUAGCACUUUAUAAAUAUGUCUCAUUGAUGCACAAAUGGGAGGAGCACCCUUUGCUGAAAGCAGUACAGUGACUUAGUUCAAUUUGGCUACGGUAGCACUUUAAAAAAUUACCAUGAGAUGGCGCUGUGGCCAAGUAAAUGCAGUAUGCUUUAAACAGUUUUCCCUAAUUAUGGCAGUUAAUUGCUUUUUUUUGAAUAUAGAGGAAUCUAUCAUUCAACUUAAAGUAGAGCAAGGUUUGUUACUCCGUUUUAAUAGUAUUCAUUAAAAGUGAAUCCUUUAAUCACAGAUCCAUAAAUCAUUUGACAACUGUGUUUCACUUAGGUGUGAGUCUGUUUAAAAAGCCAUAGUAGUCAGAAAAUUGCCAGACUAAACAAAGGGCCCAAAGGUACCAUUUUAUUUAGGAUCAAGAAACUAUAUAUGUGGACCAUUGUUUUCGCCAUCCUCAUAGACUUGUCUUAAAGUUCUUCCACAAAAUUAGAUUAAUUUCCAGUUUAUUUAAAGAGCUGAUAUUUUUGUUACACUUUAAUCUGCUUUGCAGCAAUGGAAGGUCAUAGAAAUAUUAGAACAUGAAUUCACAUUUAAAUAAACAUGAUACAAACAUGCACACAUGUGUAUAUACUGAGUGUUUUCAUUGACUUGCUUUUCGUCCAUAUAAAUAUAUAAAUAUUGAAUAAAGUGCAUGAGAACAUGUCUGUACAUAUAUACAGCUACACAUUUGCCUAUACAGUAUACACUUGAAUAGAUACUUAUGGAAGAAAAAAACACAUACACAUUUGUAAUAUAUAGGUAGUCAAAAGACAUCUAUCAGGCAACAUUAAUGUACAUUCUGAUCAAGAUUGAGUAUAUGGGGGUAGAAUCUGUAAUCUUUUCCCUAAUAUAUAAUGAAAUGUGCAGAGUUACAAGUGAAGGCAAAAUACAUUAGAGUGGAGACAUUUUAACAUUUAUAUUUUCAUCAGUUAGUAUGGUAUAUCAUAAGGAGUAGUUCAGUUCAAAUGCAGCCUUGGUACUAGCAGCAUAUUAUACAUUCUAUCUUUGAAACAGUGAACCAUCUUUCAACAUAUCUAUGAGGACAUAAUGAGAAUUUUAUGCAUUUCCAAAUUACACAAUGACACUUCCCACAUUCUUUAGUUUUCAAAUCUGUAUUUUUUUCCCAAAGGUUUAGGGCAAACACUAUUUCUCAUUCAAUAGAAAUGCUUCAGCAUUGUAAUCAUAUAUAUAACAUUGAUUCUAAUAACAACAUGCAAUUUAACCUUGAGUGUUAUAAUAUCAAGGUGGAUUAACUGUUGUUAAUCUCUUUUUCUCUUUAGUAACCAUUUCAAUGAAAUAUUAUAAUAUCUGCUUUUCUAUUAGGGAGCCCAGUGUCAAUGAGUAAUACUGAAAUGAGUGAGUUUUUGGAGAAAUAGAAGAAAAAUUUUGCUCAAAACUAUGGUAGUUAUAAACUGGCUUGAGAUUGAGGUGCGUAUUUCUAAAUUAAUUGCAAUGUUAAGCCUCAAGUGAUAUUUUCCCCCUCCUUUAUUUGUUUGGUGUUUAUUGGUAACCAAUCAGGAAAACUUAUUUUUAAAACUACUCUCACAGUUGAAACAAACUUGUUUCUGAACCAGGUAAGAAGGAAAUAAGUUGAAAUGAUUCUAAAAAUAAGUCUGUAUAUAUUUUUUGACUAAGACCAUUUCAGUUUAGUCAUUUUCUUUUUUUCUUUCUUUUUUUUUGUGAUAGGGUCUCACUCUGUUGCCCAGGAGGAAAUGGCAGUGGUGUGAACUUGGCUCACUGCAGCCUUGAG
Molecule: long non-coding RNA, 2302 nt
Filed under: Homo sapiens (human)
Lineage: Eukaryota; Metazoa; Chordata; Mammalia; Primates; Hominidae
Description: HSALNT0201347
Source: RNAcentral